GGGUUAAAGUUUUAAAAAUAUCUACAUUGCAUUUAGAAGAAACAUAUAUUGUUAACCUGAC
Molecule: transfer RNA, 61 nt
Filed under: Acizzia uncatoides
Lineage: Eukaryota; Metazoa; Arthropoda; Insecta; Hemiptera; Psyllidae
Description: tRNA-Ala
Source: RNAcentral